Molecule: ribosomal RNA, 263 nt
Filed under: uncultured bacterium
Lineage: Bacteria
Description: partial 16S ribosomal RNA
Rfam family: Bacterial small subunit ribosomal RNA
Source: RNAcentral
UACGGAGGGUGCGAGCGUUAUUCGGAAUUACUGGGCGUAAAGCGCGUGUAGGCGGCCAACCAAGUCUGAUGUGAAAGCCCUGGGCUUAACCUGGGAAGUGCAUUGGAAACUGGCUGGCUUGAGUACUGGAGAGGAAGGGGGAAUUCCCGGUGUAGAGGUGAAAUUCGUAGAGAUCGGGAGGAAUACCAGUGGCGAAGGCGCCCUUCUGGACGGUUACUGACGCUGAGACGCGAAAGCGUGGGGAGCAAACAGGAUUAGAUACC